AAAAAACAAAAGAACAGAGGAAAGUAUAGUUUAGUUGUUGUCUCGAAGCUUCCAUGGCUUGUUGAGCUUCUCUUCUUCAAUGCCCGAGUAAUGAAACUCCAAUGCGAAGAUGUUGAUCUGAUGCUUCAAGGUUCCACAUCAAGACAUCCGAAUAAGCUCUAACCUGAUGUUAUGGUAAUCGAUCCCAAACAUGAAAAUUUCUUCAAAGUAUAGAUUUAUACAGUCAAAUCUAUCUACUCAAGGUUGACCCUCACAAAGAAGUUAAUACCACUGUCUAACUUCAGGAGAUGGAAAUUCAGUCAAAUAGGUUUGGAAAGAAUAUAUCUCUGACUACUAAACUGCCUUGCAACAUUACUCUUCAAAGGCUACAACAUUUAUUUCAAGCAAAUCCGGUCCAAAUGAAAAAAAUUAUUGACACAAGGUGUCUGACACAAGGUUGAGUUUCAUUAAUGUAACAUCCCGUAGUUAUAACACUCGAAUAACGCAUUCAAAACGAACCUUAGGACCCCAUUUUGAUGGUAGACAAUGUUUAGAUGUUGCGGGUUGUCUUGGGGUGCUUUUAGGCCUUAAUAGCGGGUGUGCGUCGUGAUUUUGACCCAUCACAAAGGCCUUGCAUCGUGGAACAAACGCAAACAGCCACUAGAUGGAGUUGGCUUUUGGCAUGCGCUGCCAACCCUGAGGCUGACUUUGGUUGUGUGCCGCCAAUCCUAAGGUGGGCUUUGGCUGUGUGCCGCAAGGCAAAAGCCAAGUAUCAUAAGUUGCUUAGUUUUCUUCUAUUUUAAGGGCGUUGAAGUCUUUUCACACCCUAUAACCAUUCCUAAUCUUAUAUGGACGAAAUUAAUCUCUUAACAUACGUUAUUUUCACUUCUCAAAUAUCUAAUUAUCACUCCAUAAGCGAGACAGGAAAGAAUACCUAGGGUUGAGGAUUUUGAGUUCAAGAGGGUAAAUUACUCUACGUUUUUGUCCAUUUCAAGGUAUGUGGGACUAUCCUAAAACUCAUGGGCAUAAUCUUAUCGUUUAAACAAAUUUUAAAGGUGCAUGAUUACAUAUAUGAAACGGGUUUUUGAAUUGUUGAAGAGUAUGUAUUGUAAAUCCUGUUUUAUGAUGAAAUCUUGUAUAAACUAUGAGGUUCUUUUUUUGGCUAAACUUGAAUUGUUUUCAUUUGUACAUGGGUUAUGAGUUUUGAAAAUUGACAUGAGAGCAUACCUUACGAAAUUCCCUCUCUUAUUGUGAAUUCCAUUGCAUUAACAUGUUGUGGGUUGUUCAAUUGCAUGAUUAAAUAGCUUGAGUUAAAUGUUACAUUACCAAUUGUUGAUUUGCAGUGCUUUAUGAUUCUAUGAGAGGGUAUUUAUGAAUUUGUAAAUGCUUUACAUCCUAAUGGGAAAUUUCAUGUGUUUGAUGAUAGAAAUGACUACCCUAUGUUGAGGUACUAAAAAGGGAGUAUUUUGCAUGAGUUUUACAUGUUUUGAAAUAAGAACUCUCUUACAUUAAUUAAAUGUUUUGGUGGUCCAAUAACAUUCUUUUUGAUUGAAAAGACUAAGAUAUGAUAUACUAUGAUAUGGCAUAUACGACUUGCAAGUCUUGGUAUGACGAUACUAAAACAGAUAAAUGCUAUGGAAGAUUCAAAAUAGAACAAACUCCAGACUUCAGAUCAGAAUUUCAGUAAGAUGCAUGUUUUAAAAGGCUAAAAAUAGAUUGUAAGAGAAUUUAGAUGGUUAUACGAAGAAGGCACGGGUUCAGCUGACUCAUUUCCCAAAAUCGUAUUUUGCUGACGCGAGUCAUUAUAUCCUGAAAUAUGGAUAUUAUACGCUGGACAUGUGUCUUUCGGCGUAUCAGAAUAAGAGACUCCAGCCUUUGCGACAAACUUAGGUUGGGGGUUUGGCCUCCGAUUUAAUGGUGGACCCAUAUAGCCCAUGGGUAAUUAGAGUUGUAGGGUGUACCAUCUAGCUCAGAACUAAAGUAAAGACUUGAGUUGAUGUUUUACAAGCACGAGUGGAUGUUUUUCAUUGAUUAUGCCCAUAUGUUUCUAUAUAUAUUAUGAUAAAUUAUUUUCAGAAGGGCUCACUUAUUUUACAUGAAGUAUGUGUUAUUUUUGGAUUGUUAUACAUACUAGUACUUUCGAGUAUUGACCCCCUAUCCACAGGUUCAGAGGCUCAGUCCCGGGGUCCAGCUCAGUACUAGAUUAUUCCCAUACUUUCAGAACUUGGUGAGCCUCCUUUACACCGAAAGGCAUUCUAUUUAGAUGUAAUCUCAGUCAGUUUUAUGGUCCUGCCGGGGGCUUUGUCUCGGUUUAGUCAAAGUAGUGUUUAUUCUUUCAAUUUAGUAGAGGCUUUGUAGACUAGUGUAACAUGGAAUUUACAUUGUGAUAACAACUUCAUUGAUUGUAUGUUAGAGGGUACUUGUUAUCAAAUGCCUUAUAAUUUAAGAUGUUUAUUUGCUACUA
Long non-coding RNA from Capsicum annuum, 2443 nucleotides. RefSeq lists it as uncharacterized. The record is from RefSeq and is a predicted model, not a curated record. Lineage: Eukaryota; Viridiplantae; Streptophyta; Magnoliopsida; Solanales; Solanaceae. The transcript has 4 exons.